RNAcentral lists this long non-coding RNA (278 nucleotides) under Elaeis guineensis (African oil palm). Its description in RNAcentral is "long non-coding RNA (EGUI_LNC037892)". Lineage: Eukaryota; Viridiplantae; Streptophyta; Magnoliopsida; Arecales; Arecaceae. The record is from RNAcentral.
UGAAUCAAUCUACAAGCCAAAUCCAAAAAGCUAUCAAGACUCUGAGAUAGAUAGGACUCCAAUUUCUCUUCUAUAAAUAAAUGGAUACUGAGAUCCUCAAAGUAAGCUCUCAACUUCUUACUCUCUCUUUCUCAUUAUUUUUCAUCUUCUGAUUUGAGCGUCAGAGGGUCUUCACCGAAAAAUACCUCGGUGAAGACUUUUUACAGGUAUUCAAACAGAGCUCCAAUAGCAGUUUCACCUCGACCAUCUUUACUUUGGUGAUCCAACCUCAGACAGAG